GAGCAGGAGUGCCCGGCUUGAUCAUUCUUCAUAGAGAUUCUCCCUGAUGGAGCCUAGCCUGAGAGUGACUUCACAUCAUGCUAGCCGGGAGCUCAAUGUCCCUCUGCAAGGAGAACGAUGCCAGGUGGUUCACACAAUGCGUCCAAGAGGAAUUGAAUGUUACACUGGAUGACAGCCUUGUGGUUGGCCGAAAGCUGGGGUUCGUUGGAGCCCAUGGCAGCAUCCGUGAAACCAAAAAGGUCGGC
Molecule: long non-coding RNA, 245 nt
Filed under: Fukomys damarensis (Damara mole-rat)
Lineage: Eukaryota; Metazoa; Chordata; Mammalia; Rodentia; Bathyergidae
Description: lncRNA (ENSFDAG00000023042.1)
Source: RNAcentral